UACAUGGGGUGCAAACGUUGCUCGGAAUUAUUGGGCGUAAAGCGCGCGUAGGCGGUUACUUAAGUCGGAUGUGAAAGCCCUCGGCUUAACUGAGGAAGUGCACCCGAAACUGAGUAGCUAGAGUACGAAAGAGGGUCGCGGAAUUCCCGGUGUAGAGGUGAAAUUCGUAGAUAUCAGGAAGAACACCCGUGGCGAAGGCGGCUUUCUGGGACGGUACUGACGCUGAGACGCGAAAGCGUGGGGAGCGAACAGG
Molecule: ribosomal RNA, 253 nt
Filed under: uncultured bacterium
Lineage: Bacteria
Description: partial 16S ribosomal RNA
Rfam family: Bacterial small subunit ribosomal RNA
Source: RNAcentral